AUCUUAGAAGCAGUGGCAAACAAAUGGAUGGAGAAAUUAGCCUGAUUAGCAAUGUACAUCGGAGAAUUUUAAAUAAUUAUCUAAAAUGUCAAGCAUUACGUACGACAGAGAAGAACGUAGACCUUAAUUGCAUUCGCUGGAGAAAGGUGAAUCCUCGACAGGCAUUUAUUAAAGUUAACCUCGCAAUUCGAACGGUUCGCAAUUUCACGUGUGCAAGGACGCCGGUUAAAAGGAAGCAAUUAAAUUUGAAGAGGAAGGACGAAAAGAUCGGGCACGAUAGCGGCGUACGUUUUAUUCGCAAGUACAAGUUCACCGUUCUGCGCCGUGAAUUCGUAAGAUCAUCUUUCACGGUUUUCCGUGACGUGCUGUGUCGCGUCACGCCGCCGACGCCUGCCACGAAAUGUACGCCGUCAAUCCUCGCCGGAUUUACUUUAAUUCCCAUUUACGUAACGGAAAUUUGACAAGGUUCUAUUUAAAACAUGGUCUUGCAAAAUGUGACUCUGGUCAUUUCUGAUGAUGGGUGUAGUAAUUGAUAUUGCAUUUUUAUGUGUCAAAGGGUUGUUUCGGGUAAGUGCUUCUAUUAUCGAUGUUUAUAGUUUUCGAUUAUUGUAUUUAAAAUUAAUGAGCUGUUAAUGACUAUUUAAUGAGUGAUUACUACAUGUAUUACAGGU
This is a long non-coding RNA of Megachile rotundata (alfalfa leafcutting bee), 671 nucleotides long. The record is from RefSeq and is a predicted model, not a curated record. NCBI's taxonomy places the organism in Eukaryota, Metazoa, Arthropoda, Insecta, Hymenoptera, Megachilidae.